Molecule: ribosomal RNA, 253 nt
Filed under: uncultured bacterium
Lineage: Bacteria
Description: partial 16S ribosomal RNA
Rfam family: Bacterial small subunit ribosomal RNA
Source: RNAcentral
UACGGAGGAUGCAAGCGUUAUCCGGAAUGAUUGGGCGUAAAGGGUCCGCAGGUGGCAGUGUAAGUCUGCUGUCAAAGAAUGAGGCUUAACCUCAUCAAGGCAGUGGAAACUACACAGCUAGAGUACGGUCGGGGUAGAAGGAAUUCCUGGUGUAGCGGUGAAAUGCGUAGAGAUCAGGAAGAACACCGGUGGCGAAAGCGUUCUGCUAGACCUGUACUGACACUGAGGAACGAAAGCUAGGGGAGCGAAUGGG